RNAcentral lists this transfer RNA (75 nucleotides) under Subtercola boreus. RNAcentral's name for it is "tRNA-Gly". It matches the Rfam family "tRNA". From Rfam's summary of the family: Transfer RNA (tRNA) molecules are approximately 80 nucleotides in length. Their secondary structure includes four short double-helical elements and three loops (D, anti-codon, and T loops). The record is from RNAcentral. RNAcentral also lists the same sequence under 3 other names. Lineage: Bacteria; Bacillati; Actinomycetota; Actinomycetes; Micrococcales; Microbacteriaceae.
GCGGAUGUGGCGCAGUGGUAGCGCACAACCUUGCCAAGGUUGGGGUCGCGAGUUCGAAUCUCGUCAUCCGCUCGA